Molecule: ribosomal RNA, 467 nt
Filed under: uncultured bacterium
Lineage: Bacteria
Description: partial 16S ribosomal RNA
Rfam family: Bacterial small subunit ribosomal RNA
Source: RNAcentral
GACGAACGCUGCGGCGUGCUUAACACAUGCAAGUCGAACGGAAAGGCCCUGCUUUUGUGGGGUGCUCGAGUGGCGAACGGGGGAGUAACACGUGAGUAACCUGCCCUUGACUUUGGGAUAACUUCAGGAAACAGGGGCUAAUAACGGAUAGGAGCUCCUGCUGCAUGGUGGGGGAUGGAAAGUUUCGGCGGUUGGGGACGGACUCGCGGCUUAUCAGCUUGUUGGUGGGGUAGUGGCUUACCAAGGCUUUGACGGGUAGCCGGCCGGAGAGGGUGACCGGCCACAUUGGGACUGAGAUACGGCCCAGACUCCUACGGGAGGCAGCAGUGGGGAAUAUUGCACAAUGGGCGGAAGCCUGAUGCAGCAACGCCGCGUGCGGGAUGACGGCCUUCGGGUUGUAAACCGCUUUCGCCUGUGACGAAGCGUGAGUGACGGUAAUGGGUAAAGAAGCACCGGCUAACUACGUG